Molecule: long non-coding RNA, 4651 nt
Filed under: Marmota monax (woodchuck)
Lineage: Eukaryota; Metazoa; Chordata; Mammalia; Rodentia; Sciuridae
Source: RNAcentral
GCUGGACCGAACCCCUCAGGGCCUGUCUCCCCUCUGUAGAGAGAUGGCCUCUGUCUGUCAGCUUGGCUCUCUGCCUGGUCUCCGCCCUUCACUUCCCACGGCCUCUCCUGCUUUCUCACUUCCCUUCAGAUGCUGGAUUUCAUCAAGAGCCUUUCCUGUGGCGGUGCAGACGAUCCCGUGGUUCCUCUCCUCUGUUUCCACUGCGAGGACCUGAGCUCUGGCCAGCUCUGCACUCCCAGCAGCCAGUGGCCCAUCUCUGUCCUCUGACCCAGCGCCUUUGCUGGAGCAAGGACUUCCUGGUUGAGAUCUGACCUAAACCCAUUCCUCCGCACGGACCACCUCCCCUGGCACACGCACAGAGCGAGAAGUUUCCUGGGUCCAUUUUAUCGCCCAGUGAACACAGAAGUAAUGGAGUCUCGCCCACGACGCCUUCUGCUAAGGAGGAGCCAGAGUGAGUAGCAGGGGUCGGAGGAAGAACCCGGAGGUGAGUGUGGUCCCAGAACCCAGAGCAGGUGAGAGACCUGUCCCUGUCCCGCGGUGUGAGAGGGGGGUUUGUAACAGCCGGAUGACUUCCUGGGCCACCAGGAUGCGGGAGCUACUGAGGGCAAAGGCAGCACCUGUCCCCUGGCUGCAGCUGAGGUGGUGGGAACCCCCGCUGUGGCAGGGCUGAGGGAGAGGCCCCGGCUGCUUCAGUGGCCGCUGAUCCUGCCCCCUGUGCCCUUGGGCCCCCCAACCUCUCCUGCAGGCGCCCAUUUCAACCACGUCCCACGUCCCUGGCUUCUGGAACUACCGCGUACGCAGGAAGUGAGGCCGCUGUGAGAGCCGGCUGUCACCUCAGAGACCUCACCUUUGAGGAUCCCAUCUCUGGCCCAGAUCACCAGAAACCAGCAGGGGCACCCAGCAUUUUGGAAGACCAAGUUGGUGACCACCUCGGCGGAAUGGUCUGGGAAGGCCUUUCUGUUCCAACACCACUCCUGCUGGCGACGGCAGCCGUCUUCUGUCACAGACCUCCUGAAGGGGGGACCACUCCUGGUCCCUCAGUAACAGGCUGAAGAGAGCUGCCUUUGUUUCUAACUAGUCUUCCCCACCUGCGGUGGACGCCCGCUGAUGAACUGUUGCCUUGUCUGAAUCGACUCCUUUGUUUUCUUUUUUCCCUUCGUUGGUAAUUCCCACCAGGAGGGCGGCAUCCCCAAAGUUGUUGACAUUAGGUCUCUGAUGCUGAGCUGAACCCUGUCAUACAGGGGCCUGCAGGAUUUCAAGAGAGAUGGGGCCCUGCUGGUGAGGAGGAGCUAGAGUGGAUGGAAAGGUGAGCCCGUGGCACCCGAGGGGACUCGCAGAAUCUAGAAACUGGAGGAGCUGAGUUAAAAGAGGCAUUUUAGUUCAUUUUAGCACACAUUUAUGGGGAGUACACUAUGUCCUAAGCACUGAGCUAAGCAGAGUGGACACAGCCAUGAGUGAAACUCAGUUCCUUUGGGAGUCCACAGUCACUACAGGGUGUUAAUUGCACCUGAUGGUGGGUAAGAGCUUAGACUCUGAGCAAGACUACUUGGAUCUGAAUCUCACUUCUGCCACUUAGAAUAAUGGGUGACUUUGGGCACGUUUAUAAGUCUCUGUGUUUACAUUUCUCCAUUUAUAAAAUGCAGACAGUAAUAGUACCUGCUCACUGGGUUGUUGUGAGUGUGUGUGUGUGUGUAUGUGUGUGCACAUGUGCAUGUUUUACACUGUACCUGGAGUACAGUGAGCAUUGCUGUAGGGUCUUUCAGUCCCUAGUCCCCCUUUCUUUCUGUUCUGAUCAAAAUACACAGACUGCCUUGAAAACUCCGAGAACCACUGGAUGUUUUCUCCAGUAGACCUGACAUUCCCAGGCACUGAUAAAGAUGUUUACGUUGUUGCUCAAAACCCUGAAAGAAAAUUGCCCUGAACCAAAGUCCCUAACCUGGUCCUUUGUCAUGGGCACCCCUGGAUGGGGCAUCUCCUGUUGCCGUCUUCUGCUAAGAAAUGCUACAGACCCCUCUGUACAUAAGUUCCUCCAAUGAGACCUUGGGACUGACCACGCAUUGGGCAUUUAGAGCUUCUUCCUUUGAUAUUCCAACUGGUCAGGACAGUUUAGAGCAGUCCCUUUUGGAAAUCCCCUGUUGUCAAUACUGGAGGUGACUUCACCUUCAAGUUCAGUUGGGACAGCGUAACUAUCUGUGUGCCUGUUAAUACUAGGUAAAAUCAUGGAGGCCCAUAUCAGGCGCCGUGGGAACAGAGACCAGGGAAAUCUCAAGAGGCAAUAUUUCCCUUACAAAAUUAAGUGGUCUCCUGGCCUCUUUGCCUGAAUCUCUCUUUGUCUUUUCUGAGUCUCUUCCGAACCACAUGCUUCUUCAGCCAAUCCGCUGAACCAGUGAUCUGCCAUCAUCAGCCAGUGGCUGGCUUUCUCCAUGCCCCCUUUGACAAGGGGCUCUCCUCCAGGAAACAGAAGCGGUCUUCAUCUUUAUAUAUACACACAUUUAUUUUUUUAUUUAUUUUUAUGUGGUGCCGAGGAUGGAACCCGGGGAGGGCCUCGUGCUAGGCGAGUGCUCUACCGCUGAGCCACGACCCCAGCCCCCUCUUCACCUGGUACUCCUGUCCCUCCUAGUCCGCCUCUGUCCUCCACACUGUCCACCUGAGCCCUGUCUUAAGGUCCUUGCCGAAGAUACCCUCAGUUCUCAUCACAGUCUGAGCACCCCACUUUCCGUCAUGGGGAUGGGAGGUGGUCUUUCCCUCUGGGCUUGGUGUGCUCUGUUGCUCUGUGCCAUCAAGGGUCGUGGGGAAGAUCAGGCACCAAAGACCAACUCAGGGAGGGAAACUGGGGAUACCAUGUGUGGACCCCUCAGGGUACUGGCCGAGGAGACGGGGACCUGCUCCUCUCUGACUGCCACUAACUCCCCCCGUGACCAGUAUCUUGCCAACUUUAAACCACACAAGGGACCUCUUUUAUUAUUUCUCUUUGCCUGAACUUCUUCAUGGUUUGAAAGAUUUUAUCUCCCCCCAAACAUCCUGCAGUUUAAUGAAUUAUUUUUCCAUGUUUUUUGUUACCAGAUAUUGAACCUAGGGGUGCUUAACCACUGAUUUUUAAAUUUUGAGACAGGGUCUUGCUUAGAGCCUCGCUAAGUUGCUGAGGCUGGCUUUGAAUUUGUGAUCCUCCUGCCUCAGCCUCCCAAGUGGCUGGGAUCACAUGUAAGUGCCACUGUGCCCAGCUACAAUCUUUUACUUAUAUAUGUUUAAGGUAUACAACAUGAUGUUCUGAUGUGCAUAUGUGUAGUCAAUAAUCACUACAGUCAAAUGCAUCUAUCACCUUCCGUAGCUACCCUCUGUCUUUCUGUGGGUACUACGUGGACUUAAAAUCUGCUCUUUAGCAGAUUUUUAGCAUAUGGACAAUAUUGUUAACUGCAGUCUUCAUGCUGUGCAUUAGAUCUCUAGAUCCUUCCCCUCUGCAGCCCCCUGGCCACACUGUUCUACUCUAUUUGUAUUUAUUGGACUCUGUAUGUAAGUGAUAUCAUAAAGUGCUUUCUCCUUUUUGUGUCAGGCUUUUUCCACUUAGCGUAAUGUUCUCCUGUUUCACCAUGUUGUCAUAGACAGCAGUGCCUCCUUUUCAAUGCUGAGUAAUACUCCAUUGUGUAUACACUCUACAUUUUUUUUAAAAAAUUCAUUCAUCCAUCAACGAACAUUUAGGUCAUUUCCAUAUCUUGGUUAUCGUGAAGAAUGCUUUAGUGAAUAUGGGAUUUCAGACAUCUCCACUAGGUGCUACUUUCAUUUACUCAGGGUCUUUACCCAUAAAAGGGAUUGCUAGGUCAUUUUCUAUUCCUAACUGACCAAAGAUUUUAAUCAGUGAGAGAGUUUUGUAGUACAGAAUUGACAAAACCUUUACUUAAACAACCUAAAUAUAAGUAAGCCUUACUUUUUAAAAGUCUUAGUGGUAUUAUUCCUGGUCGGAGCGUGAUUUCCACCAGACCUACCUUUCUUUCUUUACAAUCAAAAUCUUUAUUACCAGUGCCCUCCAAGAACACAGGAAGAAGACAGAAACACCCAGCCAUGGUCCUCCAGGAGCGCAUCAUCGGUCUUUGGCGAUAUUUAUUGAAGAGAUUUUGAGAAACAUUCAAUGGAGAGAAAGCAUGAGCAUUUCUGUAAACUUAUUAGUGAGACAACACCAUUAUGACCAGCUAUUCAGCCUCUCCCAACUCCCGGUCCACAAACCAAACUCGCUCGCCCGGUUUGGGCUGUCUUCCCUACUGUGGCAGACCACUGCGUCGGCAGUCUGGGUUGCUGGAGGGUGGUGUGAAACUUCCUGGAGAGCGGUUCAUUACACGUGCCCAAGGACUAUCACCUGUGCCUCUGGCUCCUAUUUGCCAAAACUGUUGCUACCUUCAAAUCUCUCAUAGCAUAAAAAACAGAUGGCCGGGGGAUUAAACAGUUUGAUAUCAUCAUUCUCGAUCUCACACUUUUUCACCUCUUGAGGUGACAUGAUUAGAGUGGGUGGUUUGAGGAUUUAAUGUCAAAUCUACCUGGAAUAUACCAAUGGCUUUUUGUAGACCAAAAUAAUGUGGAGGGAGAUGGCAACUCUCUUGCUUUAAUUCCUAAGAAAUAACUGUUGGGUGUCUUAUGUCUUCGUACCUGCUGUUAAUGCUUC